UACGUAGGGGGCUAGCGUUGUCCGGAAUCAUUGGGCGUAAAGAGCGUGUAGGCGGUCCGGUAAGUCCGCUGUGAAAGUCGGGGGCUCAACCCUCGAAUGCCGGUGGAUACUGUCGGGCUAGAGUGCGGAAGAGGCGAGUGGAAUUCCUGGUGUAGCGGUGAAAUGCGCAGAUAUCAGGAGGAACACCGAUUGCGAAGGCAGCUCGCUGGGACGUUACUGACGCUGAGGCGCGAAAGCGUGGGGAGCAAACAGG
This 253-nucleotide ribosomal RNA is filed under the name uncultured bacterium. RNAcentral describes it as "partial 16S ribosomal RNA". It matches the Rfam family "Bacterial small subunit ribosomal RNA", at positions 524 to 776 of the family's 1533-position model. The record is from RNAcentral.